Brassica oleracea var. oleracea is the source of this 556-nucleotide long non-coding RNA. RefSeq lists it as uncharacterized. The record is from RefSeq and is a predicted model, not a curated record. The transcript has 2 exons. Lineage: Eukaryota; Viridiplantae; Streptophyta; Magnoliopsida; Brassicales; Brassicaceae.
GUCAUCUUUUUUGGUUUAUGAAUUUGAUAGCAUUGGUUGUGAGAAUGAAAAAUAAAUCACAGAUUUGCGGUUUAUAUAAUUUCAGGAUUCUGUUGGUUUGGCUUUUAAUUUAGAUUUGGAUAUCUACUUUCUCCUUACCAGACAUCACAAGUUUGUAAUGUUAGUCGAUUGGUGAUGGUCUCAGAGAAUAUGGAUGUGAACUUCAAAGUGUCCUGAAGAAUAUAGGUGGUUGGGAGCUGCAGUCUGUUUCAAGAGGCGUGAAUAAAGUUGCCUUUAUGAUUGCUAGGAGUGUUACGAUGUUAACAUAUAAUGUAGUCGUUCGUUCCUCAAGGUGAACAGGUUUGGCUAAGGAAUGCUGUAGCUGUGGAUAGGUUGUGGAGUGAAGAGGUUAAAGAUCCUAUAGUGUGUUUUGGAUCUUUCGACAUGAAUGAGCUUCAGGCUCUGUUUAUGUCUUUAUCUUCCAUAUUGUUUUUGGUUGGUUUUGGUUUUGUACGAUACUGUGGUUCCUAUUGCAAUUCAUUCUCAGAGUUUAAAAAAAAAAAAAGAAAUAGAACUA